This 497-nucleotide ribosomal RNA is filed under the name uncultured bacterium. Its description in RNAcentral is "partial 16S ribosomal RNA". It matches the Rfam family "Bacterial small subunit ribosomal RNA", at positions 28 to 507 of the family's 1533-position model. The record is from RNAcentral.
GAUGAACGCUGGCGGCGUGCCUAAUACAUGCAAGUCGAGCGAACAGACGAGGAGCUUGCUCCUCUGACGUUAGCGGCGGACGGGUGAGUAACACGUGGAUAACCUACCUAUAAGACUGGGAUAACUUCGGGAAACCGGAGCUAAUACCGGAUAAUAUAUUGAACCGCAUGGUUCAAUAGUGAAAGACGGUUUUGCUGUCACUUAUAGAUGGAUCCGCGCCGCAUUAGCUAGUUGGUAAGGUAACGGCUUACCAAGGCAACGAUGCGUAGCCGACCUGAGAGGGUGAUCGGCCACACAGGAACUGAGACACGGUCCAGACUCCUACGGGAGGCAGCAGUAGGGAACCUUCCGCAAUGGGCGAAAGCCUGACGGAGCAACGCCGCGUGAGUGAUGAAGGUCUUCGGAUCGUAAAACUCUGUUAUUAGGGAAGAACAAAUGUGUAAGUAACUAUGCACGUCUUGACGGUACCUAAUCAGAAAGCCACGGCUAACUACGUG